UGGUCCUAAGAAAGGCAGAAUGCACC
Molecule: non-coding RNA, 26 nt
Filed under: Homo sapiens (human)
Lineage: Eukaryota; Metazoa; Chordata; Mammalia; Primates; Hominidae
Source: RNAcentral